ACGGAGGGGGACUAGCGUUGUUCGGAAUUACUGGGGCGUAAAAGCGCGCGUAGGCGGGGCUGGUCAGUUGGGGGGGUGAAAAUCCCCGAGGCUUAACCUCGGAACUGCCUUCAAUACUGCCAGUCUUGAGUUCGGAAGAGGUGAGUGGAAUUCCUAGUGUAGAGGUGAAAAUUCAUAGAUAUUAGGAAGAACACCAGUGGCGAAGGCGGCUCACUGGUCCGAUACUGACGCUGAGGUGCGAAAGCGUGGGGAGCGAACAGGAUUAGAUACCCGGGUAGUCC
RNAcentral lists this ribosomal RNA (281 nucleotides) under uncultured bacterium. RNAcentral's name for it is "partial 16S ribosomal RNA". It matches the Rfam family "Bacterial small subunit ribosomal RNA", at positions 525 to 796 of the family's 1533-position model. The record is from RNAcentral.